UACGGGGGGGGCAAGCGUUGUUCGGAAUUACUGGGCGUAAAGGGCUCGUAGGCGGCCAACUAAGUCGGACGUGAAAUCCCUCGGCUUAACCGGGGAACUGCGUCCGAUACUGGAUGGCUUGAGUUCGGGAGAGGGAUGCGGAAUUCCAGGUGUAGCGGUGAAAUGCGUAGAUAUCUGGAGGAACACCGGUGGCGAAGGCGGCAUCCUGGACCAACACUGACGCUGAUGAGCGAAAGCCAGGGGAGCAAACGGG
This 253-nucleotide ribosomal RNA is filed under the name uncultured bacterium. RNAcentral describes it as "partial 16S ribosomal RNA". It matches the Rfam family "Bacterial small subunit ribosomal RNA", at positions 524 to 776 of the family's 1533-position model. The record is from RNAcentral.